Molecule: ribosomal RNA, 462 nt
Filed under: uncultured bacterium
Lineage: Bacteria
Description: bacterial SSU rRNA
Rfam family: Bacterial small subunit ribosomal RNA
Source: RNAcentral
AACGAACGCUGGCGGCAUGCCUAACACAUGCAAGUCGAACGGGAUCCGAGCUUCGGUUCGGUGAGAGUGGCGGACGGGUGAGUAACGCGUAGGUAUCUGUCCAUGGGUGGGGGAUAACAGUGGGAAACUGCUGCUAAUACCGCAUGACACCUGAGGGUCAAAGGCGCAAGUCGCCUGUGGAGGAGCCUGCGUCCGAUUAGCUUGUUGGUGGGGUAAUGGCCUACCAAGGCGACGAUCGGUAGCUGGUCUGAGAGGAUGAUCAGCCACACUGGGACUGAGACACGGCCCAGACUCCUACGGGAGGCAGCAGUGGGGAAUAUUGGACAAUGGGCGCAAGCCUGAUCCAGCAAUGCCGCGUGGAUGAAGAAGGUCUUCGGAUUGUAAAGUCCUUUCGGCGGGGACGAUGAUGACGGUACCCGCAGAAGAAGCCCCGGCUAACUUCGUGCCAGCAGCCGCGGUAAU